AGUGGAAUAGCUGGGUCAAGUGGUGGUUCCAUUUCAAGUUUUCUAAGGAAUCUCCAUACUGCUUUCUAGAGAGGUUGUACCAAUUUGCAGUCCAACCAGCAAU
This 103-nucleotide microRNA precursor is filed under the name Marmota monax (woodchuck). Lineage: Eukaryota; Metazoa; Chordata; Mammalia; Rodentia; Sciuridae. The record is from RNAcentral.